Small nuclear RNA from Rhincodon typus (whale shark), 185 nucleotides. RefSeq annotates it as U2 spliceosomal RNA. Lineage: Eukaryota; Metazoa; Chordata; Chondrichthyes; Orectolobiformes; Rhincodontidae. The transcript has a single exon. The record is from RefSeq and is a predicted model, not a curated record.
AUCGCUUCUCGGCCGAUUGGCUAAGGUCAAGUGUAGCGUCUGUUCUUAUCAGCUUUAAUAUCCGAUACGUCCUUUAUUUAAGGACCAUAUAUUAAUCUGAUUUUUGGAGCAGGGAGUUGGAAUAGGGGUUUGCUCCAUCCACUUUUUUUUUUUGGGUGGCACGGUGGCUCAGCGGUUAGCGCUGC